This 90-nucleotide ribozyme is filed under the name Hepatitis delta virus. RNAcentral describes it as "Hepatitis delta virus ribozyme". It matches the Rfam family "Hepatitis delta virus ribozyme". From Rfam's summary of the family: The ribozyme acts to process the RNA transcripts to unit lengths in a self cleavage reaction. The ribozyme is found to be active in vivo in the absence of any protein factors and is the fastest known naturally occurring self-cleaving RNA. Lineage: Ribozyviria; Kolmioviridae. The record is from Rfam by way of RNAcentral.
GUGGCCGGCAUGGUCCCAGCCUCCUCGCUGGCGCCGGCUGGGCAACAUUCCGAGGGGACCGUCCUCCUCGGUAAUGGCGAAUGGGACCCA